RNAcentral lists this ribosomal RNA (497 nucleotides) under Ligia vitiensis. RNAcentral's name for it is "partial 12S ribosomal RNA". Lineage: Eukaryota; Metazoa; Arthropoda; Malacostraca; Isopoda; Ligiidae. The record is from RNAcentral.
CUGAGCUAAGAGCUUGAUUCGAGCAAGAAAUUUUAGUAGAGAUAGUUUAACUUUAGGUAAAAUUUAUACUUAAACUUGUCUUAUAGUCUUUAACUUCCAAAUCCCGAGGCAUAAACAAGGAUUAGAUACCCUUCUAUACUUGGGCCCUUUGAGCAGGGUAGUAACUAGCUAUGUACUUCAAACCUAAAGGAUUUGGCGGUGCUUUAACAAAUUAGAGGAACCUGUAUUUUAAUUGAAAUUACGCAUUGUAUCUUACCAGAGUGAAGCUUGUAUACCGUCGUCUAGGUAGCCUCAAAAGGGCCUGCCGCAGUGAGCUAUAUUUAUGGCAGAUCAAGGUGCAGCUUGUCCUGGUUAGUAUGGGUUACAAUCUUCAAAAGUUGGAAGAGGACUUGAAAAGCUCUCUGAAAAUGGAUUUAACAGUAAUUUGAGUUUAAAAUGCUCGAAUAAAGCUGCAAUAUGGCAUGUACAUAUCGCCCGUCACUCUCACUCUCUGAGAU